CUGCCGUCCACAUCUCACACACACACACACACACACACACGCUCUAAUUUUAACCUUAGACCCAGGUAUUAACCUACUUCAGCGGUGAAUGACACGAGCAGCAGCCAAAAUGUUCCUAAACUCGUGCUUUACUUGGCUUUGGCGAUGACCGGGAUGUCGGUGAACAGGAAGAGGUGUCGGUCCUGAGUCUGCAUCCCCGUCUUCAGCUGCGCGUGUCCGUGGAGGAGAAAGGACUGGACCGACGGACAGGUCUCGGGACACACGGGGGCCACAUCACUGACGCUCGAACUGAGCACUGCAGAUUCGACGCGCAGCUUGUUUUCAUUCGAUGCAACUACGUCAUAUUAACCGACAGGAGGCCGCGGGGGAAUCUCCAUCUCAGACCACAUUUCCUGUAAACUACUUCUGCUUCUUGUUUUACGAAAAGUUUCAGAUGAACAUCAAAAAAGUCCCGUCAUAUGUGGAUGAAGCUUCUUGAAAAAAUCUAAUGUUGAGUCUUGGUGACAUGGUGAUUAAUGCAGAGAAAAGAAGAGCCGCCAACCAGGUUCAUCUAAGUCAUACAGCAGGGAGAGGUCCACUGCAUCUGCUGUUAUGCAAUGGGAUUCUGCUGCGACGGAGGCGCAAAUCAGAUCUGCAGCUGCGGAUCGCUUGAAGCAUGCCCCGGGACGAGUUGGAGGAGGUUACAAUUAGGUCUCGUUAGCAACUGAAUUUUUACUCUUUUCUAAUUUUAAAUACUUUUAUAUAUUUAUAGUUUUGUUAUUUUCGUUUUAUUCAAUGUUCACUGUUGUACAAUGUAUUUUAAAUGUGUUCGUGGCUUUUCAUCAAAGCUCUUGAAUAAAAUUGGAUAGUGUGAAUCUUAAA
Seriola aureovittata is the source of this 861-nucleotide long non-coding RNA. RefSeq lists it as uncharacterized. The record is from RefSeq and is a predicted model, not a curated record. Lineage: Eukaryota; Metazoa; Chordata; Actinopteri; Carangiformes; Carangidae. The transcript has 4 exons.